RNAcentral lists this small RNA (28 nucleotides) under Bombyx mori (domestic silkworm). RNAcentral's name for it is "ovarian small RNA-29423". Lineage: Eukaryota; Metazoa; Arthropoda; Insecta; Lepidoptera; Bombycidae. The record is from RNAcentral.
UCUAAUGUCGUCCUCGACAAAAUCAGGA